AAGUCGUAACAAGGUUUCCGUAGGUGAACCUGCGGAAGGAUCAUUCACAAUGAGUGUUUAAUGGCACUCCAAAUCCAUUACCCACCUUGUGUGCAUUGUCGGAGGACUCUCAAUCUCUUCUCUCAGAGAGAGGGGGGGGGAUCCUCUUCUACAUCUACUCUGUUCUUCCAGUAUCAGUCUACUUCAAUUGAGUAUAAAACUCGAAUACAACUUUCAACAACGGAUCUCUUGGCUCUC
RNAcentral lists this unclassified non-coding RNA (237 nucleotides) under fungal sp. Its description in RNAcentral is "partial internal transcribed spacer region". The stretch from base 1 to 46 matches the Rfam family "Eukaryotic small subunit ribosomal RNA", at positions 1786 to 1831 of the family's 1831-position model. Lineage: Eukaryota; Fungi. The record is from RNAcentral.